AUACUACCUUGCCUCCUGGAGCUCCAGGUGCACCGGCAUCACCCUUUGGACCCUGGGAGAUUGGCAUUAUAUGAUUAGGCCCAUAUCAGAGUGCAUUUUAUGUAAAUAUAAGCAAAUAUGUAAAUAUAAGCAAAUAUGUAAAUAUAAGCAAAAUACACAUUUGUCAUGUUGGCAUACUGUAUAAUUUUUCAAAUCUUGAAACUAUGAACUCUCUAUUUUAUGGUAAAAUUCAAACUCUAUAUAAUAGUUAUCUUUUAAAUAAUUUGUCUUUGUUUUGAUAAUAUUUCAAAACUAA
This 295-nucleotide long non-coding RNA is filed under the name Homo sapiens (human). Its description in RNAcentral is "HSALNT0307878". Lineage: Eukaryota; Metazoa; Chordata; Mammalia; Primates; Hominidae. The record is from RNAcentral.